RNAcentral lists this ribosomal RNA (257 nucleotides) under uncultured bacterium. Its description in RNAcentral is "partial 16S ribosomal RNA". It matches the Rfam family "Bacterial small subunit ribosomal RNA", at positions 793 to 1055 of the family's 1533-position model. The record is from RNAcentral.
GUCCACACUGUAAACGUUGAUUACUCGCUGUUGGCGAUACACAGCCAGCGGCCAAGCGCAAGCGAUAAGUAAUCCACCUGGGGAGUACGCCUGCAACGGUGAAACUCAAAGGAAUUGACGGGGUCAGCACAAGCGGUGGAGCAUGUGGUUUAAUUCGAUGAUACGCGAGGAACCUUACCUGGGCUAGAAUGCCCUUGACUUGUUCAGAGAUGGAUCGUUCCGCAAGGACAAGGAGCAAGGUGCUGCAUGGCUGUCGU